AGUGAACGCUGGCGGUAGGCCUAACACAUGCAAGUCGAACGGCAGCACAGUAAGAGCUUGCUCUUACGGGUGGCGAGUGGCGGACGGGUGAGGAAUACAUCGGAAUCUACUUUUUCGUGGGGGAUAACGUAGGGAAACUUACGCUAAUACCGCAUACGACCUACGGGUGAAAGCAGGGGAUCUUCGGACCUUGCGCGAUUGAAUGAGCCGAUGUCGGAUUAGCUAGUUGGCGGGGUAAAGGCCCACCAAGGCGACGAUCCGUAGCUGGUCUGAGAGGAUGAUCAGCCGCACUGGAACUGAGACACGGUCCAGACUCCUCCGGGAGGCAGCAGUGGGGAAUAUUGGACAAUGGGCGCAAGCCUGAUACAGCCAUACCGCGUGGGUGAAGAAGGCCUUCGGGUUGUAAAGCCCUUUUGUUGGGAAAGAAAAGCAGCAGGUUAAUACCCCGCUGUUCUGACGGUACCCAAAGAAUAAGCACCGGCUAACUUCGUG
RNAcentral lists this ribosomal RNA (492 nucleotides) under uncultured bacterium. RNAcentral describes it as "partial 16S ribosomal RNA". It matches the Rfam family "Bacterial small subunit ribosomal RNA", at positions 29 to 507 of the family's 1533-position model. The record is from RNAcentral.